RNAcentral lists this ribosomal RNA (481 nucleotides) under uncultured bacterium. RNAcentral's name for it is "partial 16S ribosomal RNA". It matches the Rfam family "Bacterial small subunit ribosomal RNA", at positions 28 to 507 of the family's 1533-position model. The record is from RNAcentral.
GAUGAACGCUGGCGGCGUGCUUAACACAUGCAAGUCGAACGAAGCAUUUAAGACAGAUUACUUCGGUUUGAAGUCUUUUAUGACUGAGUGGCGGACGGGUGAGUAACUCGUGGGUAACCUGCCUCAUACAGGGGGAUAGCAGCUGGAAACGGCUGGUAAUACCGCAUAAGCGCACAGUACCACAUGGUACAGUGGGAAAAGCUCCGGUGGUAUGAGAUGGACCCGCGUCUGAUUAGCUUGUUGGCGGGGUAACGGCACACCAAGGCGACGAGCAGUAGCCGAACUGAGAGGGUGACCGGCCACAUUGGGACUGAGACACGGCCCAGACUCCUACGGGAGGCAGCAGUGGGAAAUAUUGCACAAUGGAGGAAACUCUGAUGCAGCGACGCCGCGUGAGUGAAGAAGUAGUUCGCUAUGUAAAGCUCUAUCAGCAGGGAAGAUAGUGACGGUACCUGACUAAGAAGCUCCGGCUAAAUACGUG